UUUGUCAAACUGGAUCCUGUUACUCAGGUAUUGGCAUGUAGAAACGGUGCAGCUCAGCAGGAGACUUCGCUGUUGGACAGCAAUGUCGGCUUCUCGGAGUUCGGUGUGGAUGGCUCCACGCGGUGCACCUUGCGGAAGGCAGCUGAUACCUAGGGUGUGUCUUCAAACCAAACAUGUCAACUGGGACCACAAUGCUGACUCCAACCCUCAUCCUCUGGUAGAAUAAGAGUUGCCAAACAUAUUCUGUGGAAGGCCUCUGAGGUUCCAGCAUGUCUAGAGGAUGAGCACACUCAAGUAGAACAACCCAUCAAGCAUUUUCCUUUAAGAGAGGAUGACAAGAAAGAAAACACGCAUUUCCUGGCUUCCCCAGCCCAUUUCAAAUAACAUCAGAAAUGAUGACCAUCGCUUGACCAUCUUUUGGCCAGAUUUCAGUCAAGACCUUGCCAAAGCAGAAGAGCCAUGCUCCCCCAAACUUGGAGCCCUUCAGUCGUGGGAAUGUCUCCUUCCACUGUUCCUAGGGUUGCUACCUCCUCAGAGAGACCUGCUGAAUCUGCAUUAGACAUCCUACCUCUGCUAAGAUUAAAUGUAUUAAUCCAUCCACCUGAAGACCCAGACCAGUCACCUGGCAUACAAGUUUCCCUGGAAACUUCCAAAAGGCAGCUGCUGUGGUAUCACAUCAUCCCUCUUCCCUCCGCAAAUGUGUAAAUAAAGCAACAUCUCUAUGUGUUUAAUUUA
Suricata suricatta (meerkat) is the source of this 735-nucleotide long non-coding RNA. RefSeq lists it as uncharacterized. NCBI's taxonomy places the organism in Eukaryota, Metazoa, Chordata, Mammalia, Carnivora, Herpestidae. The record is from RefSeq and is a predicted model, not a curated record. The transcript has 6 exons.